Podarcis lilfordi (Lilford's wall lizard) is the source of this 73-nucleotide non-coding RNA. The record is from the annotation of a GenBank genome assembly. Lineage: Eukaryota; Metazoa; Chordata; Lepidosauria; Squamata; Lacertidae.
GCUGGGAUAGCUCAGUCGGUAGAGCAUGAGACUCUUAAUCUCAAGGUCGUGGGUUCAAGUCCCACAUUGGGCA